GGGGACGUAGCUCUAACUGGGAGAGCGCCUGCCUUGCACGCAGGAGGUUGGCGGUUCGAAUCCGCUCGUCUCCA
Molecule: transfer RNA, 74 nt
Filed under: Candidatus Acetothermia bacterium
Lineage: Bacteria; Candidatus Bipolaricaulota
Also listed under: 2 other names
Description: tRNA-Ala
Rfam family: tRNA
About the family: Transfer RNA (tRNA) molecules are approximately 80 nucleotides in length.
Source: RNAcentral